UACGGAGGGUGCGAGCGUUGUCCGGAUUUAUUGGGUUUAAAGGGUGCGUAGGCGGGCUUAUAAGUCAGUGGUGAAAUCUCCCAGCUCAACUGGGAAACUGCCAUUGAUACUGUAGGUCUUGAAUUAUUAGGAAGUAACUAGAAUAUGUAGUGUAGCGGUGAAAUGCUUAGAUAUUACAUGGAAUACCAAUUGCGAAGGCAGGUUACUACUAAUAUAUUGACGCUGAUGGACGAAAGCGUGGGUAGCGAACAGG
This 253-nucleotide ribosomal RNA is filed under the name uncultured bacterium. Its description in RNAcentral is "partial 16S ribosomal RNA". It matches the Rfam family "Bacterial small subunit ribosomal RNA", at positions 524 to 776 of the family's 1533-position model. The record is from RNAcentral.